AGGCAGCAGUAGGGAAUAUUGGGCAAUGGAGGCAACUCUGACCCAGCCAUGCCGCGUGAAGGAUGACGGCGCUCAGCGUUGUAAACUUCUUUUAUCAGGGAAGAACUAUGGGGAUGCGUCCUUAUUUGACGGUACCUGAGGAAUGAGCACCGGCUAACUCCGUGCCAGCAGCCGCGGUAAUACGGAGGGUGCAAGCGUUGUCCGGAUUUAUUGGGUUUAAAGGGUGCGCAGGUGGUUCUGUAAGUCUGAUUUGAAAGCCGGCGGCUUAACCGUCGGAUGUGGUUGGAAACUGUGGAACUUGAAUGGCGUAGCGGGAGCCGGAAUGGGUCAUGUAGCGGUGAAAUGCAUAGAUAUGACCCGGAACACCGAUUGCGAAGGCAGGCUCCUUGGCGUUGAUUGACACUGAGGCACGAAAGCAUGGGUAGCGAACAGGAUUAGAUACCCUGGUAG
Molecule: ribosomal RNA, 450 nt
Filed under: uncultured bacterium
Lineage: Bacteria
Description: bacterial SSU rRNA
Rfam family: Bacterial small subunit ribosomal RNA
Source: RNAcentral